Molecule: ribosomal RNA, 400 nt
Filed under: uncultured bacterium
Lineage: Bacteria
Description: bacterial SSU rRNA
Rfam family: Bacterial small subunit ribosomal RNA
Source: RNAcentral
CUAAGAAUAUUCCGCAAUGGACGAAAGUCUGACGGAGCGACGCCGCGUGGAUGAAGAAGGCCGAAAGGUUGUAAAAUCCUUUUGUUGGGGAAGAAUAACCAUGGGAGGGAAUGCCCGUGGGAUGACAUGAACCGACGAAUAAGUCCCGGCUAACUACGUGCCAGCAGCCGCGGUAACACGUAGGGGACAAGCGUUAUUCGGAAUUACUGGGCGUAAAGGGCAUGUAGGCGGCUUUGUAAGCCUGGCGUGAAAGUCCACAGCUCAACUGUGGGAUUGCGUCGGGAACUGCAGGGCUUGAGUCAUGGAGAGGAAGGUAGAAUUCCUGGUGUAGGGGUGAAAUCUGUAGAGAUCAGGAAGAAUACCAGUGGCGAAGGCGACCUUCUGGCCAAUGACUGACGCU